CCUACGAUGCAGUCGUCGCUUCGGAAAUUGUCGAACACGUCGCCGAUCUUCCCGGAUUCAUUGGCUGCCUCGCUGAGCUGGCUCGCCCCGGUGCCCCGCUCUUCAUCACAACUAUCAACAGAACGUGGCUGAGCAAAUUGGCAGCUAUUUGGCUUGCAGAGAAUGUACUCAAAAUCGUGCCGCCCGGAGUCCACGACUGGGAAAAAUUCAUCACACCCGCCGAGCUCACUUCACAUCUCGAAAAAGCGGGUUGCCGGGUGACGGCGGUGCAUGGAUUAAUGUUUCAUCCGGUUGGAAAUCACUGGACAUGGAUCGAAUCGACUCAGUGUAAUUACGGAAUUUUGGCAGUGAAGAAUUAG
RNAcentral lists this unclassified non-coding RNA (359 nucleotides) under Caenorhabditis elegans. RNAcentral's name for it is "Non-coding transcript of protein-coding gene coq-3". Lineage: Eukaryota; Metazoa; Nematoda; Chromadorea; Rhabditida; Rhabditidae. The record is from RNAcentral.